This 844-nucleotide ribosomal RNA is filed under the name uncultured phototrophic eukaryote. Its description in RNAcentral is "bacterial SSU rRNA". It matches the Rfam family "Bacterial small subunit ribosomal RNA", at positions 26 to 915 of the family's 1533-position model. The record is from RNAcentral.
GGGGGGGUACUGCAUGCUUACACAUGCAGUCGUACGAGAAUUUUUAAUUCAAGUGGCGGACGGGUGAGUAACACGUAAGCAUUUGCCUUUAGGAGGGGGACAACAACUGGAAACGGUUGCUAAUACCCCAUAUGCUUUCGAGUGAAAUGGAUUUUUCCGCCUAGAGAGAAGCUUGCGGCUGAUUAGCUUGUUGGUGAGGUAAUGGCUUACCAAGGCGACGAUCAGUAUCUGGUUUGAGAGGACGAUCAGACACACUGGAACUGAGACACGGUCCAGACUCCUACGGGAGGCAGCAGUGGGGAAUUUUCCGCAAUGGGCGAAAGCCUGACGGAGCGAUCUCGCGUGAGGGAUGACGGCCUAUGGGUUGUAAACCUCUUUUUUCAGGGAGGAAUAAAAUGACGUGUACCUGAAGAAUAAGCAUCGGCUAACUCCGUGCCAGCAGCCGCGGUAAGACGGAGGAUGCAAGUGUUAUCCGGAAUCACUGGGCGUAAAGCGUCUGUAGGUGGUUUAAUAAAUCAACUGUUAAAUCUUGAAGCUCAACUUCAAAAUCGCAGUCGAAACUAUUAGACUAGAGUAUAGUAGGGGUAAAGGGAAUUUCCAGUGGAGCGGUGAAAUGCGUAGAGAUUGGAAAGAACACCGAUGGCGAAGGCACUUUACUGGGCUAUUACUGACACUCAGAGACGAAAGCUAGGGUAGCAAAUGGGAUUAGAUACCCCAGUAGUCCUAGCCGUAAACAAUGGAUACUAGAUGUUGAACAGAUCGACCUGUGCAGUAUUAAAGCUAACGCGUUUAGUAUCCCGCCUGGGAAGUAUGCUCGCAAGAUUGAAACUCCAAAGAAUUGACG